RNAcentral lists this ribosomal RNA (472 nucleotides) under uncultured bacterium. RNAcentral's name for it is "bacterial SSU rRNA". It matches the Rfam family "Bacterial small subunit ribosomal RNA", at positions 355 to 825 of the family's 1533-position model. The record is from RNAcentral.
UGGGGAAUUUUGGACAAUGGGGGCAACCCUGAUCCAGCCAUGCCGCGUGAGUGAAGAAGGCCUUCGGGUUGUAAAGCUCUUUCGGCGGGGACGAAACGGUCCGUGACAACACCACGGACUAAUGACAGUACUCGCAGAAGAAGCACCGGCUAACUACGUGCCAGCAGCCGCGGUAAUACGUAGGGUGCAGGCGUUAAUCGGAAUUACUGGGCGUAAAGCGUGCGCAGGCGGCUCCUUAAGUCAGAUGUGAAAUCCCCGGGCUUAACCUGGGAACUGCGUUUGAAACUGAGGGGCUAGAGUGUGGAAGAGGGGGGUGGAAUUCCAGGUGUAGCAGUGAAAUGCGUAGAGAUCUGGAGGAACACCUGUGGCGAAGGCGGCUACCUGGUUGGAUACUGACGCUGAGACGCGAAAGCGUGGGGAGCAACCAGGAUUAGAUACCCACGUAGUCCCUGAGCGGGCUGGCAAGGCGCAU